UCCGGUGCUAUUACUUUGAAGAAAUCAGAGUGCUCAAAGCAAGCCUUUGCUCUGUAUACAUUAGCAUGGGAUAACAUCAUAGGAUUUUGAUCCUAUUGUGUUGGCCUUCGGGAUCGGAGUAAUGAUUAACAAGGACAGUUGGUGUAAUAACCCUGACCUUAGAGGACAAGUCAACGACGUGGAAUCAUCCAGCAACCAAAGUGGAAAGGUGUAUGAAGAUGUUUAUGGA
RNAcentral lists this ribosomal RNA (229 nucleotides) under Brassica napus (rape). RNAcentral's name for it is "rRNA SSU_rRNA_eukarya". It matches the Rfam family "Eukaryotic small subunit ribosomal RNA", at positions 742 to 974 of the family's 1831-position model. Lineage: Eukaryota; Viridiplantae; Streptophyta; Magnoliopsida; Brassicales; Brassicaceae. The record is from RNAcentral.